UACGACUGAAUUGAAGAUUUCGGUCGGAGAUGAAGAUGUAAAGUUCUAGCGGCGGACGGGUGAGUAACGCGUGAGCAACCUGUCCCUUACAGGGGGAUAACACAGCGAAAGUUGUACUAAUACCGCAUGAGACCACGGAGUGACAUCAUUCAGGGGUCAAAGGAGCAAUCCGGUAAGGGGUGGGCUCGCGUCCGAUUAGAUAGUUGGUGAGGUAACGGCCCACCAAGUCGACGAUCGGUAGCCGACCUGAGAGGGUGAUCGGCCACAUUGGGACUGAGACACGGCCCAAACUCCUACGGGAGGCAGCAGUGGGGAAUAUUGGGCAAUGGGGGGAACCCUGACCCAGCAACGCCGCGUGAGGGAAGAAGGUUUUCGGAUCGUAAACCUCUGUCCUUGGUGAAGAGAAAGAGACGGUAGCCAAGGAGGAAGCCCCGGCUAACUACGUGCCAGCAGCCGCGGUAAUACGUAGGGGGCGAGCGUUGUCCGGAAUGAUUGGGCGUAAAGGGCGCGUAGGCGGCCCGGUAAGUCUGAAGUGAAAGUCCUGGUUUUAAGCUGGGAAUUGCUUUGGAUACUGUCGGGCUUGAGUGCAGGAGAGGUAAGUGGAAUUCCCAGUGUAGCGGUGAAAUGCGUAGAGAUUGGGAGGAACACCAGUGGCGAAGGCGACUUACUGGACUGUAACUGACGCUGA
Molecule: ribosomal RNA, 688 nt
Filed under: uncultured rumen bacterium
Lineage: Bacteria
Description: bacterial SSU rRNA
Rfam family: Bacterial small subunit ribosomal RNA
Source: RNAcentral